UAACAGCUCAAAUUUGAAAUCUGGCUCCUGCGGAGUCCGAGUUGUAAUUUGUAGAAGAUGCUUUCCGAGGGAGGCUCGGCCUAAGUUCCUUGGAACAGGACAUCAGAGAGGGUGAGAAUCCCGUAUGUGGCCGUGGCCUCCGCCCGUGUAAAGCUCUUUCGACGAGUCGAGUUGUUUGGGAAUGCAGCUCAAAAUGGGUGGUAAAUUUCAUCUAAAGCUAAAUAUUGGCCAGAGACCGAUAGCGCACAAGUAGAGUGAUCGAAAGAUGAAAAGCACUUUGGAAAGAGAGUUAAACAGUACGUGAAAUUGUUGAAAGGGAAGCGCUUGCACCCAGACUUGGGCGUCGUCGUCUCAUCCGAGGUUCUCCUCGGUGCACUCGGCGAGGCACAGGCCAGCAUCGGUUUGGAUGGUUGGAGAAAGGCUCUAGGAACGUAGCUCUCUUCGGGGAGUGUUAUAGCCUAGGGCGUAAUGCAGCCCAUCUGGACCGAGGACCGCGCCUUCGGGCUAGGAUGCUGGCGUAAUGGUUGCAAGCGACCCG
Molecule: ribosomal RNA, 538 nt
Filed under: Golovinomyces arabidis
Lineage: Eukaryota; Fungi; Ascomycota; Leotiomycetes; Helotiales; Erysiphaceae
Description: eukaryotic LSU rRNA
Rfam family: Eukaryotic large subunit ribosomal RNA
Source: RNAcentral